RNAcentral lists this ribosomal RNA (371 nucleotides) under uncultured organism. RNAcentral describes it as "partial 16S ribosomal RNA". It matches the Rfam family "Bacterial small subunit ribosomal RNA", at positions 527 to 896 of the family's 1533-position model. The record is from RNAcentral.
GUAGGUGGCAAGCGUUGUCCGGAAUUAUUGGGCGUAAAGCGCGCGCAGGCGGUUCUUUAAGUCUGAUGUGAAAGCCCACGGCUCAACCGUGGAGGGUCAUUGGAAACUGGAGAACUUGAGUACAGAAGAGGAAAGCGGAAUUCCACGUGUAGCGGUGAAAUGCGUAGAGAUGUGGAGGAACACCAGUGGCGAAGGCGGCUUUCUGGUCUGUAACUGACGCUGAGGCGCGAAAGCGUGGGGGAGCAAACAGGAUUAGAUACCCUGGUAGUCCACGCCGUAAACGAUGAGUGCUAAGUGUUAGGGGGUUUCCGCCCCUUAGUGCCGCAGCUAACGCAUUAAGCACUCCGCCUGGGAGUACGGCCGCAAGGCUG